Molecule: small nucleolar RNA, 107 nt
Organism: Magnolia sinica
Lineage: Eukaryota; Viridiplantae; Streptophyta; Magnoliopsida; Magnoliales; Magnoliaceae
Source: RefSeq, a predicted model, not a curated record
UAUCUAUAAUGUGGGCAAGAAUUUAAAAGAUCCUUGAAUAUUUUCCAGCAUUGGAAGAAGGUUUCUUCUUCUUUCUGCGAAAAAUUCAUGAUCGCCCUCUUUAGAGU